CCGCUGAACGCAUCUAAGCGGGAAACUCACCUCAAAACCAGGUUUCGCUUGAGAGCCGUGGAAGACGACCACGUCGAUAGGCCAGGUGUGUAAGCGCAGCAAUGCGUUGAGCUUACUGGUCCUAAUCGCUCGAUUGUAACACUUGA
RNAcentral lists this ribosomal RNA (146 nucleotides) under Alphaproteobacteria bacterium. RNAcentral describes it as "partial 23S ribosomal RNA". It matches the Rfam family "Bacterial large subunit ribosomal RNA", at positions 2768 to 2925 of the family's 2925-position model. The record is from RNAcentral. Lineage: Bacteria; Pseudomonadati; Pseudomonadota; Alphaproteobacteria.